RNAcentral lists this ribosomal RNA (41 nucleotides) under Echinops telfairi (small Madagascar hedgehog). Lineage: Eukaryota; Metazoa; Chordata; Mammalia; Afrosoricida; Tenrecidae. The record is from RNAcentral.
CUUGGUUAGUACUUGGAUGGGAGACCGCCUGGGAAUACCGG